RNAcentral lists this ribosomal RNA (931 nucleotides) under uncultured bacterium. RNAcentral describes it as "bacterial SSU rRNA". It matches the Rfam family "Bacterial small subunit ribosomal RNA", at positions 48 to 1004 of the family's 1533-position model. The record is from RNAcentral.
CCUACACAUGCAAGUCGAGCGGCAGCGAAGGGUGCUUGCACCCUGUCGGCGAGCGGCGGACGGCUGAGUAACGCGUGGGAACGUGCCCCAAAGUGAGGAAUAACUGCCCGAAAGGGUAGCUAAUACCGCAUAUUAUCUUCGGAUCAAAGGAUUUAUCCGCUUUGGGAGCGGCUCGCGUCGGAUUAGGUAGUUGGUGAGGUAAUGGCUCACCAAGCCGACGAUCCGUAGCUGGUCUGAGAGGAUGACCAGCCAGACUGGAACUGAGACACGGUCCAGGCUCCUACGGGAGGCAGCAGUGAGGAAUCUUCCACAAUGGGCGAAAGCCUGAUGGAGCAACGCCGCGUGCAGGACGAAGGCCUUCGGGUUGUAAACUGCUUUUAUAAGUGAGGAAUAUGACGGUAACUUAUGAAUAAGGAUCGGCUAACUACGUGCCAGCAGCCGCGGUCAUACGUAGGAUCCGAGCGUUAUCCGGAGUGACUGGGCGUAAAGAGUUGCGUAGGCGGUUGUAUAAGUGAAUAGUGAAAUCUGGUGGCUCAACCAUACAGGCUAUUGUUCAAACUGUACAACUUGAGAGUGGUAGAGGUCACUGGAAUUUCUUGUGUAGGAGUGAAAUCCGUAGAUAUAAGAAGGAACACCGAUGGCGUAGGCAGGUGACUGGACCAUUUCUGACGCUAAGGCACGAAAGCGUGGGGAGCGAGCCGGAUUAGAUACCCGGGUAGUCCACGCCGUAAACGAUGGAUACUGGCUGUUGGAGGUAUCGACCCCUUCAGUAGCGAAGCUAACGCGUUAAGUAUCCCGCCUGUGGAGUACGGCCGCAAGGCUAAAACAUAAAGGAAUUGACGGGGACCCGCACAAGCGGUGGAUCGUGUUCUUUAAUUCGAUGCUAAACGAAGAACUUUACCAGGGCUUGACAUCCAGGGAAGGUCUGCGA